GCCGGAGGCCCUGCUCCAGCUCCAGUUUCUGAGAGAUUUCUGUGAACUCCUCGGUGACAAGCUGGGAGACUGAGCAUGUGCAGAAACAACAAUACAUUAGUACAUCCACAUUGGUCCACUUGGUAAGGUCCAUAACCACAAAGGUGAAAGUGAGAAGAUAUUUUCCAGAGAUAAUGAUGCAUAAAAUAGUUUUUUGACUUAAA
Girardinichthys multiradiatus is the source of this 203-nucleotide long non-coding RNA. RefSeq lists it as uncharacterized. The transcript has 2 exons. The record is from RefSeq and is a predicted model, not a curated record. NCBI's taxonomy places the organism in Eukaryota, Metazoa, Chordata, Actinopteri, Cyprinodontiformes, Goodeidae.